RNAcentral lists this long non-coding RNA (387 nucleotides) under Salvia miltiorrhiza (redroot sage). RNAcentral describes it as "long non-coding RNA (SMIL_LNC012950)". Lineage: Eukaryota; Viridiplantae; Streptophyta; Magnoliopsida; Lamiales; Lamiaceae. The record is from RNAcentral.
UCAGUCGGUUAGAGGCGCAGGUUAGCCAAGGAAUGCAAAUGCUUGUUGAGCAAGCACCGCCUAAGCGACGGGGACGUCCUCCAAAGGGUAUGGAGCGUCCGCGCGUUCCACAGACUCAGGAAGAUAGCAUAAAAAGUCGCCUCAGAAAUGCGGAGGAAAUGGGUCAGAAGCCGAGGGACUUCGUCAUUGAUCAUAGCAGAAGUGCUAGUUUGCGUGUUAUGAAUAAUAUCGCCAAUGGCCGUUGGUCGGAGGACAUGGAGAUGGACGAUUUUAUUUAUUAUUAGGUGUUUUUUGAAUGGUUUUUAGAGCGCUUUUUGCUUUGUUUCCUGUUUGACGAGCUCCUUUUCGAGUCUCGGGCCUCUAGUCUGCAUUCUUGUGCUUUCAAAG